CAUGGACGCGGAGGACAUUACCGAGUUUACAACUCCCAAACCCAAUGUGAACGUUACCAAACUGUUGCCUCGGCGGGAUCUCUGCCCCGGGUGCGUCGCAGCCCCGGACCAAGGCGCCCGCCGGAGGACCAACCAAAACUCUUUUUGUAUACCCCCUCGCGGGUUUUUUUAUAAUCUGAGCCUUCUCGGCGCCUCUCGUAGGCGUUUCGAAAAUGAAUCAAAACUUUCAACAACGGAUCUCUUGGUUCUGGCAUCGAUGAAGAACGCAGCGAAAUGCGAUAAGUAAUGUGAAUUGCAGAAUUCAGUGAAUCAUCGAAUCUUUGAACGCACAUUGCGCCCGCCAGUAUUCUGGCGGGCAUGCCUGUCCGAGCGUCAUUUCAACCCUCGAACCCCUCCGGGGGGUCGGCGUUGGGGAUCGGCCCUCCCUUAGCGGGUGGCCGUCUCCGAAAUACAGUGGCGGUCUCGCCGCAGCCUCUCCUGCGCAGUAGUUUGCACACUCGCAUCGGGAGCGCGGCGCGUCCACAGCCGUUAAACACCCAACUUCUGAAAUGUUGACCUCGGAUCAGGUAGGAAUACCCGCUGAACUUAAGCAUAUCAAAAGCGGAGGAA
This 609-nucleotide ribosomal RNA is filed under the name Trichoderma harzianum. RNAcentral describes it as "eukaryotic LSU rRNA". The stretch from base 222 to 375 matches the Rfam family "5.8S ribosomal RNA". Lineage: Eukaryota; Fungi; Ascomycota; Sordariomycetes; Hypocreales; Hypocreaceae. The record is from RNAcentral.